GCCAACUCUAGCCCAAAUUAAUCUUAAUACACAUAUAAACUCUAAUAAACUAAAACAUUUUAACGCUAACCCCUAGUAUAGGAGAUAGAAAAGGAAAUUGGAGCCUUAGACAUAGUACUGUGAAGGAAAAAUGAAAGAUUAGCUUAAAGCACAAAAAAGCCAGGAUUUAACCCUGUACCUUUUGCAUAAUGGUUUAGCUAGAAAACUUAUAUACAAAGAAUUUUAAUAUAAAAUCCCGAAACUAGAUGAGCUACUAUCGAGCAAUUUAUUAGAAUCAACCCGUCUAUGUUGCAAAAUAGUGGGAUGACUUUAUAGUAGAGGUGAAAAAUCAACCGGACCUAGUGAUAGCUGGUUAGCCAAAAAACGAAUUUAAGUUCAACAAUAAGUUUAUUUCCUGAUAUACUAUAUUAACCAUAAACUUAUAAGUUAUUCAUAAGAGGGUCAGCCCUUAUGAAUAAGGAAACAACCUCUAAUAGAGGGAAAUUUAUUCUUAUUUACAUAGUAGGCCUAAAAGCAGCCAUCAAUUAAAAAAGCGUUAAAGCUUAAACUUCAUUCUUUCUUAAUCCCUUAACUUCUUAACUACCCCUAAAAUAAUAUUGGCUUAAUCUAUGUCCCCAUAGAAGAAAUAAUGCUAAAAUAAGUAAACCAGAAUUUAUUCUCCAUGCACUAGCUUAAAUUAGAACGGAGCAUCCACUAAUAAUUAACAGCUAAAUAAUCAUAAAUAUUAACUAGAAACAUUAUUUUAUAAACUGUUAACCCGACACAGGAGUGCAUCUAAGGAAAGAUUAAAAGGAGUAAAAGGAACUCGGCAAACUAGGAUUUCGCCUGUUUACCAAAAACAUCGCCUCUAGCAUAACAAGUAUUAGAGGUCCUGCCUGCCCAGUGAUUCUAUUAAACGGCCGCGGUAUCCUGACCGUGCAAAGGUAGCAUAAUCAUUUGUCUCCUAAUUAGAGACUAGUAUGAAUGGCUAGACGAAAAUCCAACUGUCUCUUACUCCCAAUCAGUGAAAUUGCCCUCCCCGUGCAGAGACGGGGAUAACACCAUAAGACGAGAAGACCCUGUGGAGCUUUAAUCAUAGAUUUAUUCUUUUUCAUACAGACCCAAAAGCUCAACACCUUAAGAAUUUUUUCAACUGAUUUUGGUUGGGGUGACCUCGGAGUACAACAAAACCUCUGAAUGCAUAGUAAUAACUUACAAGUUUAAACGCAAAACUGCCAGUAAUAGACCCAAAUUAUUGAUCAAAGGACCAAGUUACCCCAGGGAUAACAGCGCAAUCCUAUUCAAGAGUUCAUAUCGACAAUAGGGUUUACGACCUCGAUGUUGGAUCAGGACAUCCAAAUGGUGCAGCCGCUAUUAAUGGUUCGUUUGUUCAACGAUUAAAGUCCUACGUGAUCUGAGUUCAGACCGGAGUAAUCCAGGUCGGUUUCUAUCUAUGGGUAAUUUCUCCUAGUACGGAAAGGACCAGAGAAAUCAGGCCAAUCUUAAAAAGAAGCCUCCAACUUAACAAAUGAUUUCAUCUCAAUUUGCCACGUUACCCUUACUAAUCCUAGACCAGGAAUUCU
Molecule: ribosomal RNA, 1562 nt
Filed under: Ornithorhynchus anatinus (platypus)
Lineage: Eukaryota; Metazoa; Chordata; Mammalia; Monotremata; Ornithorhynchidae
Description: rRNA (ENSOANG00000019390.1)
Rfam family: Bacterial large subunit ribosomal RNA
Source: RNAcentral